CUGACCUUCAGGCUGUCGUUAUAUAGGCUUAUUCCUGAAUUUGCUGAGAAUUUUCUCUGAGUAAGGACAAAAUAUGGAUUUUAAGACUCACCCCAAGAUAGCUCUCACCCAGCACUCAUUAAUAUGAGCAGACCACUGUUCCGCGUGGUUGAAUGAUGGAAUUAAUUUAGGAUUUUUUUAAAAGCCAGCUUUUGGACUUCUGCCUUGUUUCUAAUUUUUAAAUAUUUACAACUUGAUUCACAGAAGUUUAGGGUUGGAAGGGACCUUGUGAGAUCAUCAGGUCCAGUCCCUCUUCUCUGGGCAAGAAAGACUGCUGGCGUCAAAUAACCUUAGCAAGGUUAUAUCCAGUCUCCUUUUGAAGAUCUCCAGGGAACUGGUCUGAUGCCAUCAAACUCUUUCACAAGGCUCCAGAAGUGGAUUUCCAGCAAUCGCUGUGCUUCAUUGAAGUGUUGGAGAAAAUAUAAAAGCCCUAGCAAAGAAAACACUGUAUCCUUUGUUCAAAUUAAAACCUUUGCAUGUCAAAAGAUGUAAAACUGGCCCUAUUGCUUUCAGAUGUUAACACAUGUUUUGAUGGUUAAUGCUGCAUUACAAUGGGAUUUCUAUAAACAUAUGACAGCCACAUCAACACCAAAUGAAUACAUUACGGUUCAGGUUUUUAUUACAGUGAAUACUAAAAAAUGCUUGAGAUGAAAACAAAUGCUCUUUUGCAAAAUUCCGUAAAACUGGAGUGACCCUUGUGGUGCUGAAUGACAAAGGAAACAUCACAAAUAUUGCUAUUCUGUCUUCUAACAGUAUGUUUCAAUACUCAAAAAAGAAAAGAGCUCUGAACAGGCUUUCAGAACAAAUAUCAAUAAACCAAGAAGAUCCAGGAAUUGGAAGAACAAAAGCCACCACACAGACUACUGGAUCUAAGUAUAUGUUCAACUUUAAACCGAAGUAUGUUCCCAGAUCCUACUGAUAUUUAUGUGUCUAUUAAGAGCUUCAUCCAGAUUGCAAUUAUAAUGGCCAGACCAGCUCAUUUUGAAGCAACACAUCCAGUGGUUUGGCCCUUUAAAAUAUUUCUUUAGCAGCUGUCUUCUUUCCCUUGACUAGCUGUUUUGUCCAAAGUGCUAUGAGAAUGAUUGGCUUGCGUUCAUCUGGUUACAUCACCUGGGUUGUCAAGAAGUCUGCUGAAUGGAGCCCUCUGGUCUGGUUGAUAUCAUGGGAUGACACAAGGAAGAAAAUGUAUUGGAAAACGAAUUACAGUUCAACCCCAUAUGUCUAAUUUCUACAAACUACUUCUCCUUUGUUUUUACCCAUAUAUCACAAUUAUAUUUUAAAGAAUAUUUUAAUUUUAUUAUAUUUUAAAGAAAGUUUACUUAUCCACAUUAUGUACCUAUACAUAUAAAUACUUUUUAAAUAAAUGUAUUUUUUGUGAGAACUACUAGAAUGAUA
Long non-coding RNA from Alligator mississippiensis (American alligator), 1434 nucleotides. RefSeq lists it as uncharacterized. The transcript is spliced from 8 exons. The record is from RefSeq and is a predicted model, not a curated record. NCBI's taxonomy places the organism in Eukaryota, Metazoa, Chordata, Crocodylia, Alligatoridae.